RNAcentral lists this ribosomal RNA (471 nucleotides) under Tityus pictus microdon. RNAcentral's name for it is "partial 16S ribosomal RNA". It matches the Rfam family "Archaeal large subunit ribosomal RNA", at positions 1913 to 2669 of the family's 2987-position model. Lineage: Eukaryota; Metazoa; Arthropoda; Arachnida; Scorpiones; Buthidae. The record is from RNAcentral.
CUUUCUUAGAAAUAAUUAAGAAUCAACUCUGCUCAAUGCUUUAGUAAAUAGCCGCAGUAUUUUGACUGUGCAAAGGUAGCAUAAUAAUUAGUCUUGUAAUUCAAGACUGGCAUGAAAGAGAAAACUAAAGGAAUAAUAUUUUUAUUAUAGUUUUCCAAUUUUACUUUUUAGUAAAAAGGCUAAAAUUCCUCUUAAAGACAAGAAGACCCUGUAAAACUUAACAUAUAAUUAUCCUAUAAAUUAAAUAGUAUGUUUAGCUGGGGCGGCAGAGAACCAAACAUUCUUAUAGUAUUAUAAUAAUUAUCAUACCCAGAAAUUCUGAAAAUUAAACAAGCUACUUCAGGGAUAACAGCGUAAUAUAUUUUGAAAGAUCUUAUUGACAAGUAUGUUUGCGACCUCGAUGUUGGAUUGAAUUAUCUUUUUUUCGCAAAAGGAAAAUUAGAAGGUCUGUUCGACCUUUAAAUAUUCCCA